UACGACGGGGGCUAGCGUUGCUCGGAAUUACUGGGCGUCAAGGGCGCGUAGGCGGACAGUUUAGUCAGAGGUGAAAGCCCAGGGCUCAACCUUGGAAUUGCCUUUGAUACUGGCUGUCUUGAGUUCGGGAGAGGUGAGUGGAAUGCCGAGUGUAGAGGUGAAAUUCGUAGAUAUUCGGCGGAACACCAGUGGCGAAGGCGACUCACUGGCCCGAUACUGACGCUGAGGCGCGAAAGCGUGGGGAGCAAACAGG
Molecule: ribosomal RNA, 253 nt
Filed under: uncultured bacterium
Lineage: Bacteria
Description: partial 16S ribosomal RNA
Rfam family: Bacterial small subunit ribosomal RNA
Source: RNAcentral